AUGGGAGACAUUAGUGAAGACAUGUCAGACGGGACUCACGGGGAAACAUUCUGCAUAAUGAGCACUUUUACUUUCGGUACUUUAAGCAUAUUUUUGAUGCAAAUACUUUUUUUUUAUUUUACGUAAAGCUGUGUGCAUAGUUUCUGU
Long non-coding RNA from Sander lucioperca (pikeperch), 147 nucleotides. RefSeq lists it as uncharacterized. Lineage: Eukaryota; Metazoa; Chordata; Actinopteri; Perciformes; Percidae. The record is from RefSeq and is a predicted model, not a curated record. The transcript has 3 exons.